GGCAGUAUGGCCUAGUGGAUCAGGUGAGUGACUGGAGAUCAAAAGGUCGUUGGUUCAAUCCCCCCUUCCUUGG
Molecule: non-coding RNA, 73 nt
Organism: Danionella cerebrum
Lineage: Eukaryota; Metazoa; Chordata; Actinopteri; Cypriniformes; Danionidae
Source: the annotation of a GenBank genome assembly